RNAcentral lists this ribosomal RNA (199 nucleotides) under uncultured bacterium. Its description in RNAcentral is "partial 16S ribosomal RNA". It matches the Rfam family "Bacterial small subunit ribosomal RNA", at positions 328 to 539 of the family's 1533-position model. The record is from RNAcentral.
ACGCUCGACACCUACGGGGGGCAGCAGUGGGGAAUAUUGCACAAUGGGGGAAACCGUUGAUGCAGCGACGCCGCGUGGGUGAAGAAGUAUUUCGGUAUGUAAAGCUCUAUCAGCAGGGAAGAGAAUGACGGUACCUGACUAAGAAGCCCCGGCUAACUACGUGCUAGCAGCCGCGGUAAUCUGAGCGGGCUGGCAAGGC